UACGUAGGGGGCAAGCGUUGUCCGGAUUUAUUGGGUUUAAAGGGUGCGUAGGCGGCUUUAUAAGUCCGUGGUGAAAGCCAACAGCUCAACUGUUGAACUGCCAUGGAUACUGUAAGGCUUGAGUACAGACGAGGUAGGCGGAAUGGAUGGUGUAGCGAUGAAAUGCAUAGAUACCAUCCAGAACACCGAUUGCGUAGGCAGCUUACUAGGCUGUAACUGACGCUGAGGCACGAAAGCGUGGGGAGCGAACAGG
This 253-nucleotide ribosomal RNA is filed under the name uncultured bacterium. RNAcentral's name for it is "partial 16S ribosomal RNA". It matches the Rfam family "Bacterial small subunit ribosomal RNA", at positions 524 to 776 of the family's 1533-position model. The record is from RNAcentral.